GCUUUAUAGAUAAUUUAAAUUUUAUUGGUGUAUUAGUUAAAGAUUAAGUUUGAUUAUUUAUUUCGUUGGGGCGACGAAGGCAUAAUUUUAAAUAACUGCUAAAGAAAUGAAGUAUUCUAUAAUAAGAGAAUUAUUUAUAUUGAUCCUAUAUAAAGAUUUAAAGGCUAAGUU
This 171-nucleotide ribosomal RNA is filed under the name Actaea semblatae. Its description in RNAcentral is "partial 16S ribosomal RNA". Lineage: Eukaryota; Metazoa; Arthropoda; Malacostraca; Decapoda; Xanthidae. The record is from RNAcentral.